AGAGUUUGAUCCUGGCUCAGAGUGAACGCUGGCGGCGUGCUUAACACAUGCAAGUCGAACGGUAACAGCAGAGCUUGCUCUGGCUGACGAGUGGCGCACGGGUGAGUAAUAUAUAGUUAAUCUGCCUCGAAGACUAGGAUAGCCACUGGAAACGGUGAUUAAUACUAGAUAGUCCUUUCAUUCAUAAGAAUGAUUGGUAAAUGUUUUUUCGCUUUGAGAUGAGACUAUAUCCCAUCAGCUUGUUGGUAGUGUAAGAGACUACCAAGGCAAUGACGGGUAGCGGGUUUGAGAGGAUGAUCCGCCACACUGGUACCGAGACACGGACCAGACUCCUACGGGAGGCAGCAGUGAGGAAUAUUGCACAAUGGGGGAAACCCUGAUGCAGCAACGCCGCGUGGAGGAUGACGCAUUUCGGUGUGUAAACUCCUUUUAUAUGUCAAGAAAAUGACGGUAGCAUAUGAAUAAGCACCGGCUAACUCCGUGCCAGCAGCCGCGGUAAUACGGAGGGUGCAAGCGUUACUCGGAAUCACUGGGCAUAAAGGACGCGUAGGCGGGAUGCCAAGUCUGAUGCGAAAUCCUAUAGCUUAACCAUAGAACUGCAUUGGAAACUGGUAACCUAGAGUAUGGGAGGGGGAGAUGGAAUUAGUGGUGUAGGGGUAAAAUCCGUAGAUAUCUCUAGGAAUACCUAAAGCGAAGGCGAUCUCCUGGAACAAUACUGACGCUAAGGCGUGAAAGCGUGGGGAGCAAACGGGAUUAGAU
Molecule: ribosomal RNA, 759 nt
Filed under: uncultured Campylobacterota bacterium
Lineage: Bacteria; Pseudomonadati; Campylobacterota
Description: bacterial SSU rRNA
Rfam family: Bacterial small subunit ribosomal RNA
Source: RNAcentral